RNAcentral lists this ribosomal RNA (460 nucleotides) under uncultured bacterium. Its description in RNAcentral is "partial 16S ribosomal RNA". It matches the Rfam family "Bacterial small subunit ribosomal RNA", at positions 338 to 795 of the family's 1533-position model. The record is from RNAcentral.
CCUACGGGAGGCAGCAGUGAGGAAUAUUGGUCAAUGGACGAGAGUCUGAACCAGCCAAGUAGCGUGAAGGAUGACUGCCCUAUGGGUUGUAAACUUCUUUUAUAAAGGAAUAAAACGAGGCACGUGUGCCUUUUUGCAUGUACUUUAUGAAUAAGGAUCGGCUAACUCAGUGCCAGCAUCCGCGGUAAUACGGAGGAUCCGAGCGUUAUCCGGAUUUAUUGGUUUUAAAGGGAGCGUAGAUGGGUUGUUAAGUCAGUUGUUAAAGUUUGCGGCUCAACCGUAAAAUUGCAAUUGAUACUGGCAGUCUUGAGUACAGUUGAGGUAGGCGGAAUUCGUGGUGUAGCGGUGAAAUGCUUAGAUAUCACGAGGAACCCCGAUUGCGAAGGCAGCUUAAUAAACUGUGACUGACAUUGAUGCUCGAAAGUGUGGGUAUCAAACAGGAUUAGAUACCCGAGUAGUC